GAGUUUGAUCCUGGCUCAGGAUGAACGCUGGCGGCGUGCUUAACACAUGCAAGUCGAGCGAAGCACUUAAGUUUGAUUCUUCGGAUGAAGACUUUUGUGACUGAGCGGCGGACGGGUGAGUAACGCGUGGGUAACCUGCCUCAUACAGGGGGAUAACAGUUAGAAAUGACUGCUAAUACCGCAUAAGACCACGGUACCGCAUGGUACAGUGGUAAAAACUCCGGUGGUAUGAGAUGGACCCGCGUCUGAUUAGGUAGUUGGUGGGGUAACGGCCUACCAAGCCGACGAUCAGUAGCCGACCUGAGAGGGUGACCGGCCACAUUGGGACUGAGACACGGCCCAGACUCCUACGGGAGGCAGCAGUGGGGAAUAUUGCACAAUGGAGGAAACUCUGAUGCAGCGACGCCGCGUGAAGGAUGAAGUAUUUCGGUAUGUAAACUUCUAUCAGCAGGGAAGAAAAUGACGGUACCUGACUAAGAAGCCCCGGCUAACUACGUGCCAGCCGCCGCGGUAAUAC
This 517-nucleotide ribosomal RNA is filed under the name uncultured bacterium. Its description in RNAcentral is "bacterial SSU rRNA". It matches the Rfam family "Bacterial small subunit ribosomal RNA", at positions 9 to 526 of the family's 1533-position model. The record is from RNAcentral.